Molecule: long non-coding RNA, 394 nt
Organism: Eriocheir sinensis (Chinese mitten crab)
Lineage: Eukaryota; Metazoa; Arthropoda; Malacostraca; Decapoda; Varunidae
Exons: 3
Source: RefSeq, a predicted model, not a curated record
GACGAUAUGGCUGAUGUGCUGACCAUGGGCUGUAUCAGACACGCCAGUCACACUCACAAUGGUGGCCCGCGGCUCAGGCUCAAACCUUGGCAGCCCCAGGGCUCCGGAGAACAUGGCCUGGCCCCCUGGGUACCUGUGGCCCCCAAUAGCACCAUGAGUCCAGAGACGGAGAUGAGCGCCGCGUACUUGAGCCACAGCGAGUGAGAGGCGUAGAAGAAGUAGAUGAUGACGCACACCAAGUUCUCCGUCACCGUCACCACGUAGAAGGCACAAACACAUAGUUGCUGGCGACAUCUGGUAAGGAUGAAUAUACCCCACUAAGACACAAUCAAUUCUAGACUGCAGAUGAGGGCAGGAGCUUCUUAUCUCAACAUUUCAUAACAAUCAAAAUGCC